Pseudophryne corroboree (corroboree frog) is the source of this 705-nucleotide long non-coding RNA. RefSeq lists it as uncharacterized. The transcript has 4 exons. The record is from RefSeq and is a predicted model, not a curated record. NCBI's taxonomy places the organism in Eukaryota, Metazoa, Chordata, Amphibia, Anura, Myobatrachidae.
GGUCUAUUCUGCCCUUUGUCCUGAAGUCCCUGCCGCAUGGAUGCCAUCAUGGUCUGCAUCCAAAUACAAUCAAUUUGUACACCAGUGGGACUGAACCAGAUGGGCUAGCUUUCUCUUCCCACGCACAUCAAUGAGCCUUGGGUUCCAUGACCCUGUCAGAGGAUGUCCUUCCUUGUACCACAUUUGAUAGGGCUGGUGCAAACACAUGCUGAUAAUGAUGACCACUACUUUCACAAGUGGAAGUAUAAAGGUAGUGUGGCUGCAUAGAGGAGGUCGACUAUGCACACCGAUUGGAGAUCCGCAUCUAUUUUCAAGCAUGCAUUGUGGAUGUAUUACGUAUAGACUCUGAUCCAGGCCCUGUACACACAAUCAUGACAGUAUGAUAUAUUUGCUGUAAUUUAUAAUACAUGCAAAACAGCAGCUCAGAAGCAGCUAUGCAGUGUGGAGGUUUAGCCAAGGCAUGCGAGUGAUAGUACAAUGCUUUCUCCAGGCAUUCUCGAUCAUCCUGAAUGAACUCCAAAUGGCUUCCUGCCGGGUAUUCCAGCUGGAUUACAAGAAGCUAUAGCUCAAUGUCAUUUUCAAUGUGGAGCCUCAUAAUUAAAGGUCAAAUAGUCACUUCAUCCGCAAUCAAUCAAUAGAGAAAAAGUACUAAUAUCAAGUACUAAUCAAUCAAUGGCAAAGGUACUAAUAAAAGAAAUGAAUCAA